Molecule: long non-coding RNA, 927 nt
Organism: Zophobas morio
Lineage: Eukaryota; Metazoa; Arthropoda; Insecta; Coleoptera; Tenebrionidae
Exons: 4
Source: RefSeq, a predicted model, not a curated record
AUUUCAUUCAUUUAGACAUUUGUUAAGUCAAAUUUUGGUCCCCAAAAUCAAAAAAUGCAAAAGGAUAAAAAUGUAGAAACAACUUAUUUUGACAACGUUGUAAAAUGGGCCUGAAGGAAGUUUGUUUGUUAUGUUCUGUGAGCUAUGUGAUUUGUAACCAUAUUAGUGGUGGAAUCGCUAUGACGGUUGUAAAUAUCCUGCUUUGCGAACACAUUAACAUGGCAGGAUUAGUUAUACUGUUACUUGGAUAUUUAACAUACGUCGGUAGCGGUGUGUUGUUAUUAUUUGGUGCAGCAAUGCGCAAACCAAAAAUGGUUUGUCGUCAUUUUUUGGCAACAGUUGUUAGCUUGGUUAUAGUAAUCAUUGGUUGGAUAUUCCUAUAUGCGACUAUGGAAUAUGAUAACUUUAUUUCUGCUUUUGUCUUAUUCGUUGCUUAUCUUGCAAUAUUGUCUUUUGCGACAAUAUGCGAAUAUGGUGUGUAUAUGUUUUACAAAAAACUGAAGCAAGAAAUUCAGGAUGCGGAGACCUAAAGUAAAAAUUCAUUAGUGUUGAUGUUAGUUUGAGUAUAAUUUUAGAAUGUAUGUACUUUUGGCACUUCUGCGUUAAGCGAAGCAACAGGAAAAGACGUUGUCACACUGCCACAUACUACCUACUAGUAAUAAAUUUUUACUAAUACCAUUUGAAGUUAAAAAAAAGUUAAGUCAGAAAAAAUUGAAGGUCAAAUAAUAAAACUAACUUCAGUAUAGGACAAUAAAACCGUUUAUAAAAAGACUAUACUUUGGGUAGAAAUGUCUGUGUCUACUGGUUAGGGUUGGAAAUAUUAUAUCAAUUACUUUCAAUUUUUGUUUCAAAUAUAAAAAUUGAUAUGAGUAUCUUGUGUCGGCUCAAAUAUUAGCACUAUUUAAUUAUCAUGCUCCUAUAAGGGUU